Molecule: ribosomal RNA, 322 nt
Filed under: uncultured eukaryote
Lineage: Eukaryota
Description: partial 18S ribosomal RNA
Rfam family: Eukaryotic small subunit ribosomal RNA
Source: RNAcentral
CCCUUAGAUGUUCUGGGCCGCACGCGUGCUACACUGAGUGGAUCAGCGGGUCAGGUUACGCGAGAGCGUUUCCUAAUCUUCAAAUCCGCUCGUGAUGGGGAUUGACGGUUGCAAUUUUCCGUCAUGAACGAGGAAUACCUUGUAAGCGCGGGUCAUCAUCCCGCGCUGAAUACGUCCCUGCCCUUUGUACACACCGCCCGUCGCUCCUACCGAUUGAGUGGUCCGGUGAGGCUUUGGGAUCUAAGCGAAAAGAGCGGUUCGCUCCUUUUGCUGGGAGAACUCAGUCGAACCUUAUCAUUUAGAGGAAGGAGAAGUCGUAACA